UGGCUGCUGUGAUCAUUGAUUUGGUUUCUCCCCUUUUCUCUGCACCAGGGCCAGGAACUGUUUGAGCAGAAGUUUCACCCUUCCUGAGGUUUCAGAAGAUCUGGGAUAAAGCCUGUCCCUCCUGAGUAUGGUGGCUGGGGGUGAAUUUUAUUUUGGAUUGGAGACUGUGAGCUCAAGGGCAUCUUCACUGUGCUGAACAUCUGUUGUGCCUCCUGCCUUGCCUCCAUAGCCCUUCUUCCUAUGUUGGCAUCUACAGUUGGCCAUCCCUCUGGCGGACCCCAGAGAUGCCCAACUCCUGGUCUGCCCAGUGCUGUGUGUUUCCCUUUCCUGUUGAGUAGGACUGAGCUGUGCAACCAACAGGACAUGGCAGAAGGGAGUUUGUGUGACUCUGAGGCGAGAGCAUCAAGAGCCCUGAGGCUCCACCUUGUUCCUUGGGGGCCGCUUACUCCGAGGAAGCCAGCCACCAUGUUGUCGGCAUGCUCAAGCAGCCUUGUGAAGAGGCCUGGGUGGAGAGGGCCCAGCAGCCAGCACCAACGAACCUUCUCUGAGAGAGAGAAGGUCAGAAGUGGCUCCUCUAGCCCCACUGAGCCUUCAGAUGACCGGAGCUCUGGCCAACAGCUGGACUGCACCUACAUGAGAGGCCCAGAGCCAGAACUUCCCGGCUAUGCUACUCCUGAGUUCCUGACCCACAGAAGCUCUGUGAGAUGAUAACUGCUUCCUACUCUUUGGAGAAAAAUCACUACUUAGAAAUAGAUAACUAAGAAAAGCAGCUCUGUGCUCAUGCACCUGCCACAGGAAGUUCCUGUCCCAGACCGGAAGCAAGUGUCUGCAGACACCUGCCUGCCUUGGUCUGGAAGCUGCACCCUUCGAGGUACAUCCUAGGGUGAGAAGAAGGUAUCAGUCCCAGGAGAAAGAGACGGGCAGCAGGGCGGGGUGAAGAUGCAGUCUUUGCCAUUGGCAGUGCCCUGGAGGUGACAAGCCCCAUUCUGGAGAGGGGGCUGUGUGGCUCUUAACAGGAGGCAGUGUCACAGAAAUCCUUGAGCCAGCUCAGUGAGGACCCAAUGGAGCUGCCCAUCUUCAGGGGACAUUUUGGGUUUUUAAGGGCUGUGACCUGCAGGAUUUAACAGUGGUACCAGAUGUUGGGAACACCACAGGCCCCCAUGUGUCACUCUGUGUAAUGUCCUGGGACCUUGGGGUCCUCGCCAAGGACAGAAUUUGAAUUUCUCUCCAGUCCGGUAUGACAUCAUACUUACAGUAAUUGAUUUAGGAAUGCGUGACAUUUCUUUUACACCUAAGUAUAUGGAAUAAGGUUGAAAUGUCAGCUCCCUGGUGACAGGAACCUUUUUUAUUGUUGUUGUUGUUUUGACCAUUAUCGUGUUACAGAGCCUUGCAUAUUUCUUGACACACAGUAGGUACACUAUAAAUAUUAGUGCCUAAAGCCACAGAAGAAAAUAAUAAUUUACUGAGUACUUACUAAAAUGCUAGAGAAAUUUCCCUUAGAU
Long non-coding RNA from Sciurus carolinensis (gray squirrel), 1502 nucleotides. RefSeq lists it as uncharacterized. The record is from RefSeq and is a predicted model, not a curated record. Lineage: Eukaryota; Metazoa; Chordata; Mammalia; Rodentia; Sciuridae. The transcript is spliced from 3 exons.